GAGGUUAAGCGACUAAGCGUACACGGUGGAUGCCCUGGCAGUCAGAGGCGAUGAAGGACGUGCUAAUCUGCGAAAAGCGUCGGUAAGGUGAUAUGAACCGUUAUAACCGGCGAUGUCCGAAUGGGGAAACCCAGUGUGAUUCGUCACACUAUCGUUAACUGAAUACAUAGGUUAACGAGGCGAACCGGGGGAACUGAAACAUCUAAGUACCCCGAGGAAAAGAAAUCAACCGAGAUUCCCCCAGUAGCGGCGAGCGAACGGGGAGCAGCCCAGAGUCUGAAUCA
Molecule: ribosomal RNA, 284 nt
Filed under: Klebsiella pneumoniae
Lineage: Bacteria; Pseudomonadati; Pseudomonadota; Gammaproteobacteria; Enterobacterales; Enterobacteriaceae
Description: partial 23S ribosomal RNA
Rfam family: Bacterial large subunit ribosomal RNA
Source: RNAcentral